UCAACCUCACCCACUUAGAAUGGCUCAGCCCAAGAACCAGAAACCCCUGAGCAGGAAAGGGGAAGCCAUAUUCACGGUAGUGGGUGUACCUUUGUUCUUACCCUAGGUGCGGUGGCUCAAUUUCCUGACCUGCUCCAUGGAAGGUGACCUAAUGGUGGUGACUGCGGGAGGAGCAGCAGCAAUAGCAGGAGUGGUACUCAAGUUCUGGAUGGCUAUCAUAAUGGGAAUAAAUCUUAGUCCACACACUCUUCAUUAACCUGACAAGAACUUAGGACUGCAGGACAAGAACUCAAGACCCACACAAUGAGUCCUAAUCAGUUGGCACACAUUAUCUCAUUUCAUCCUCUCAACAGCCCUAUAGUGUAUGUGCUGUUAUUAUUCAUUCAUACUUUGAUAAUGAACAAACUGCGACUCAGAGAAGUGGAGUAACUUGCCCAAAGUCAACAGCUGCACCACCAGGCUCGCCCCAGCACAGCUCAUCCACCCACCCCAAUGACAGAAUGCGCCAGAACUGUGGUCAACAUGGAGUGGCACCUUUGAGAGAGGGCCUCUGAGCAAGUUCCUGUGCCCUGUUUCUUUCAACGAGGAUAACUACUUCCACCUGCCUUUGUAAUUUGUUCCUGGGACAAAGAAAGCCUCUUGAGGAGGCUGGCCUGCCCUGCAUAUGUUGGAUAAACGCUUGAAAUAUGGACCUGUCCCCAUCUCUCGCCUUUCCCCGGAAUUCAGGACUGAAUGGAUGCUGCCUGCAUUUUGGGGAGUGGGAGUUUUGCUUUUCCUUUGCUUUGCUACUUACUCACUCUGAUGAACAAGGAGAAGACUGACAGCUUCACAGUCCUGGAUCAUUUCCUGCCCUGUUCUCCCAUCCAGCUCAUGGAAGUCAGCAACUCCAUCCACUCAUUGCACAGAGACCAGAAAGGGGAAGGGAUUUUCUCACUGUCUCACAGCAACUAAUGGCCAAGCUGCGGUGGGAGUCUUGGUGGUCUGAUUCCAAUUCAAGUUGGAGUGAGAGGGUGAGAAGAUUGUGGGCUGUGGCCUCAAGCCAACCAGGGUUUAAACCCAGCAUUGCCUCUGGCUUACUUGUGUCUCCUCUGCUUCCUCAUUCUUAGAAUGAAAAUCAUCAUCAUCAUCUCAUAGAAGUGUUAUGGGCAACAGACAGGAUAAUGUACAUGAAGCUCAUACAGCUUUGGGAUUAAAACCAGUGAAGACCCAAACGACUGUACCUGGGGAUUUAAGAUAAACAGGGUGUGUUACUGCCUGGCACAAAAUGGGAAUUUGUGCAAAGGUAAGAUACCAAGCAGGACAGUAUUUCUCCUUGAGGGACCCUGAAAUCUUCUCAUCAUUUAAGCUUAUGAAACGAGGUGGAGCCUCACUUCUUAAAGGGGGAAAUGCAAAUCAAAACUACCUGGGUAUCAUAUGAAAUUAUACCUUGAUAAA
Molecule: long non-coding RNA, 1434 nt
Organism: Pan troglodytes (chimpanzee)
Lineage: Eukaryota; Metazoa; Chordata; Mammalia; Primates; Hominidae
Exons: 5
Source: RefSeq, a predicted model, not a curated record